This is an RNA transcript of Episyrphus balteatus (marmalade hoverfly), 1495 nucleotides long. It is a transcript of the gene named integrator complex subunit 9-like, with no coding region annotated. NCBI's taxonomy places the organism in Eukaryota, Metazoa, Arthropoda, Insecta, Diptera, Syrphidae. The transcript has 7 exons. The record is from RefSeq and is a predicted model, not a curated record.
AAGAUAGAGACAAGUGCAACCCCAUUUUACAAAAGAACAAAUUUUUUAAAACGUCAAAAUUAAUAAAACAUUAACAAAAAAGUAAGUAAGCGAGUCGAGGAAGUGAAAUUAAUAAUUAAAGUGAAAUUAAUAAUUCCAAGGAAAGCGUACUUCACUCAUAUGGACUAAAAACACAACAACAUCCGCUUAUCACACUCAUUCAAAACAAAGGUGUUGACAUGAAUGACAUCGCCAAUAAAAUUAAUGGAAUUUGUAAUUAUCAAGACAAACAAAUAAAGAAACACAGCACAGAAUAUCUUCGCCCGGUUUUUUUGUACAUUCUUUGUAACCCAGAGACACUGCCUUAUUCUAAAACUAUCUGGACUGGUUUGCUUUCUUUGGCUAAAACCCAGACAAAUGCAAAACAUCUCACGAAAGAAAUUAUCUUAUGCUCGAAGAUAUCAUCACAGAUGGUGUAGCCUUGGCCCAUCAGAUUGUAAGAAAAAUUCUUUCAUUAAACAAAUUGGCACCAGAAACAGAACAGCAACAAAAAAUUUCUACGAAAGAAUUUUCAAAACACAUCAGGAAUAUCCAUUCCAAUAUUGCAAUUGCAUUUGAUUUAUCUAAAUUAGUUGAAGGUUUUGAUGAGUCGGAAUUCAAAGAUGUAUUCACUUUUGUCGAUGCGCUGAAUGUCUAAGCUAAUAGUAUUUUGGCCCAUAUAACAUACAGAUUAUAUAUUUAUCCAUUUAUCAUUGGUGUGGAAUGAUAAAUCUAUAUAAUAUCAACUAAAAAAACUUCUUGCAGCACGAUUUGUACGUUAGAUGAUUAAAAUAUUCACACUUUGAGAAAUUUUGGUACGAUUCGUCAUUUUUCUUGUGACAAUUUUUAUUAAUGUAUAAAAAAUAACCAAAUUUAACUUAUGGACAUGUCCGGGAACCAAUGGAAACUUUUCUAACGGAAACAUUAAAUUCAUAGCCAUGUGUCGUGUUCUGUGGUCAUCCGAGUUUGAGAUUUGGCGUUGCGGUCCACUUUAUUGAAAUAACCUGACUUCCCAUAUCUUCAAGUGCUGGCUCCUUUCCAACCCUUGUCCAUGAAGGCAUUCUAUUGUCCCAUCGAUACGUCACUGAACUAUCAACAAGCAAACAAGCUGAUUAAGGAACUAAAACCUAGUGUCUUGGUUAUUCCUGAAAACUAUACAAAACCGCAUCCAAUUGCUCCACAACUUUAUAUUGAACAACCGGACAAGAAAAUCUUCACUUUCAAAUGUGGCGAAAUCAUUCGAUUGCCACUCAAACGAAAAAUGGAUCGAGUCUAUCUUACAUCUGAAUAAGCAUAAAAAAUUGUUCCUCGUGAAAUAACUCCCGGUGUAACAAUAUCCACAUUACCUAACUGGAAUUCUUGAAGUCAAAGAUAAAGUACAUAAUAUUGCUCCAUGUGAUGAUGAAUCGGAUAGUAAAGCAAAUACAAGUGCUGGCACAACUCUACAUCCACCUAAACGUGAAGAAGUUCUAAAGAA